ACGGAGGAUGCGAGCGUUAUCCGGAUUUAUUGGGUUUAAAGGGUGCGUAGGCGGGACCUUAAGUCAGCGGUAAAAUUGCGGUGCUCAACGCCGUAGAGCCGUUGAAACUGGGGUUCUUGAGUGAGCGAGAAGUAUGCGGAAUGCGUGGUGUAGCGGUGAAAUGCAUAGAUAUCACGCAGAACCCCGAUUGCGAAGGCAGCAUACCGGCGCUCAACUGACGCUGAGGCACGAAAGUGCGGGUAUCGAACAG
RNAcentral lists this ribosomal RNA (250 nucleotides) under uncultured bacterium. Its description in RNAcentral is "partial 16S ribosomal RNA". It matches the Rfam family "Bacterial small subunit ribosomal RNA", at positions 525 to 775 of the family's 1533-position model. The record is from RNAcentral.